CCAGAAAUAGACCGGGACCAAUUUUUAUUCUGCAUGGCUGCUGGAAACAUCGUGUCACAUCUUUGAUUAAUUUCAUCUGAAAAUAAACAACCACAGAUCGCUCCAUCCAUUCCAUGGCUGAAGCAUACAUUUUCAUUUAAUCUGAACAGAUAUCCCAGAAAGAUGAAGCUGAGGAAGAGCUGCAGAGUACCACCAUGGCACUCUUCGUCUUCAGGGACAACUCAAGCCUCCUACAUCAGCCUCGAGACAUCGGGAUAAUCAUUGAUGGUGUGGAAGUCCUGAAUGAGUUGCCUUCUGUGGCAGCUGGAGUGGCAAUGGUCUUUGGACUCUGUUAUGCUCUUAAUAUGGAAUAUCCACGAGGAUUCAGGUUCACCUUUGAGGCUCUUCAAAAGAUUAUGAUGGAGCUUGACUUUAACAAGAUGACCUCUAAGAUUCGCAAACUUAAUUGUGAACUUAACACUGCACAGUAGUGUGUUUGCAUGCAUGUGUGCAUGUGUAUGUGCACAUGCAUGUGCAUGUGUGCUUGGUUAUUUUGCUUGGUUGGCCUGCAGUGGUAUUCUACAUUCAAAAUUUAUAAGAACACCCAUUUGAAAGGGAGAUUUAAGUUGAUUUCAUUGAUACAUGUGUAGAUUUUUUUUUUUUUUUUUUACAUUGUACAGGCACAGUGCACAUAUAAACAUUUUUGAGUACUUGCAAAUUGGUUUAAAAAGAGUUUUUAUAAUGGUUUUAUGCCAGUUUUAGACAGGUUGCAGGUUUUAUACUGGUUUUCAAAAGAUUGCAGGUUUUAUA
This is a long non-coding RNA of Haplochromis burtoni (Burton's mouthbrooder), 789 nucleotides long. RefSeq lists it as uncharacterized. The record is from RefSeq and is a predicted model, not a curated record. The transcript has 3 exons. Lineage: Eukaryota; Metazoa; Chordata; Actinopteri; Cichliformes; Cichlidae.